CCAAUAGCGUAUAUUAAAGUUGUUGCAGUUAAAAAGCUCGUAGUUGAAUUUCGGGAUCAGUACGUCGGUCGUGCCUUGGUACGUACUGGCGUCGCUGAUUUCUCCCUUCUGACGAACCGUGAUGCCAUUAAUUUGGUGUUGCGGGGCAUCAGGACUGUUACUUUGAUAACAUUAGAGUGUUUAAGGCGGGCACGCGCUUGCAUACAUUUGCAUGGAAUAACGAAAUUGGACGUUCGAGCUUAUUUUGUUGGUUUCUAGGAUUGACGUAAUGAUUAAUAGUGAUAGUUGGGGGCAUUAGUAUUCAAUUGUCAGAGGUGAAAUUCUUGGAUUUAUUGAAGACUAACUACUGCGAAAGCAUUUGCCAAGGAUGUUUUCAUUAAUCAAGAACGAAAGUUAGGGGAUCGAAGACGAUCAGAUACCGUCGUAGUCUUAACCAUAAACUAUGCCGACUAGGGAUCGGAUGAUGUUAAUUUUAUAAUGACUCAUUCGGCGCCUUACG
This 499-nucleotide ribosomal RNA is filed under the name uncultured Glomeromycotina. RNAcentral's name for it is "partial small subunit ribosomal RNA". It matches the Rfam family "Eukaryotic small subunit ribosomal RNA", at positions 591 to 1092 of the family's 1831-position model. The record is from RNAcentral. Lineage: Eukaryota; Fungi; Glomeromycota.